This 253-nucleotide ribosomal RNA is filed under the name uncultured archaeon. RNAcentral describes it as "partial 16S ribosomal RNA". It matches the Rfam family "Archaeal small subunit ribosomal RNA", at positions 474 to 727 of the family's 1478-position model. The record is from RNAcentral.
AACCAGCACCUCAAGUGGUCAGGAUGAUUAUUGGGCCUAAAGCAUCCGUAGCCGGCUCUGUAAGUUUUCGGUUAAAUCUGUACGCUCAACGUACAGGCUGCCGGGAAUACUGCAGAGCUAGGGAGUGGGAGAGGUAGACGGUACUCGGUAGGAAGGGGUAAAAUCCUUUGAUCUAUUGAUGACUACCUGUGGCGAAGGCGGUCUACCAGAACAUGUUCGACGGUGAGGGAUGAAAGCUGGGGGAGCAAACCGG